RNAcentral lists this ribosomal RNA (254 nucleotides) under uncultured bacterium. RNAcentral's name for it is "partial small subunit ribosomal RNA". It matches the Rfam family "Bacterial small subunit ribosomal RNA", at positions 26 to 285 of the family's 1533-position model. The record is from RNAcentral.
AGGACGAACGCUGGCGGCGUGCUUAACACAUGCAAGUCGAACGGAAAGGCCCUUCGGGGUACUCGAGUGGCGAACGGGUGAGUAACACGUGAGCAAUCUGCCCCUAGCUCUGGGAUAGCUCCGGGAAACCGGGAUUAAUACCGGAUACGACCACAGCCGACAUCUGCUGUGGUGGAAAGGAUUCCGGCUAAGGAUGGGCUCGCGGCCUAUCAGCUAGUUGGUGGAGUAACGGCCCACCAAGGCGACGACGGGUA